This 72-nucleotide transfer RNA is filed under the name Heterocephalus glaber (naked mole-rat). It matches the Rfam family "tRNA". Rfam says of the family: Transfer RNA (tRNA) molecules are approximately 80 nucleotides in length. Their secondary structure includes four short double-helical elements and three loops (D, anti-codon, and T loops). Lineage: Eukaryota; Metazoa; Chordata; Mammalia; Rodentia; Bathyergidae. The record is from Rfam by way of RNAcentral.
GGGGGUGGAGCUCAGUGGUAGAGCACUUACCUAGCAUGUGCAAGGCCCUGGGUUCCAUCCCCAGCACCACAG